RNAcentral lists this non-coding RNA (31 nucleotides) under Mus musculus (house mouse). The record is from RNAcentral. Lineage: Eukaryota; Metazoa; Chordata; Mammalia; Rodentia; Muridae.
GGAAUUAAUUCUACUCCUACCGGUCUAAAGU